ACGCGGGUAUAAGAUAUGAGCAGUGUGCAGAUCGUUUGAGCAGCUAGCAACAAAUUACAAGAGGGUGGCAGCUAGCUAGUUAGGCCGGAUGGCGCGGCUGCAGCGACGACGUCUGGUGCUGGCGCUCCUGCAGCUCGCCGUGGCGCUCUGGUUGGCGGCUACCAGCGGCUGCUUCUGCCGCCAGCCGCCGAGUCCGAUAGCCGGCGUCUCGUCGCCGCCGAUUCUGCCGGACGGCAACCGGCCACCGAAGUCGCCUCCAGCUCCCGCAUCCGCACAACACAUGAACCGCUCCUUUCAGCCGGGCUGCCCGCCGGAUUGCACCGACCAGCAACGUCAGCCUUAAUUAGUUAUGGACUAUCAACGACGUACGUUCAGCAUAUAUACUCUGGUUGCAAACGUGUUAGUAUGUACUCCACUCUGUAAGUUCGUUCCGAUUUCAAAUGUAAUAAUGCAAAUUUAGCGCAUUGUAUUCUCAACUACUUGUAAGUAUAAUUUCUAUUUUACUAGUAUAAAUGUAGGGCCGAGCGAUCAGAUUGGUACAUCUUCAAAAACAAUAUCCUAGACUUGAUUAAUUAUAUGUAAAAACGCUCAAAUUAAUUACUGCCUCUCCUUUCAUAAAAGUUACACCUAUUACUUUUAUCCAGUGGCGGAUCCCGAAAAUUGGUUCGUUGGUGUCAUAGCGUGUCUAUCGGUGUCAUAGUAUACUAAUUAUGCUUAGAACAUGAUGUUAUAGUAUAUGGAUAAGCAGUUUUGUUAUUGGUUUUGCCGAAAGUCGUCGGUGUCGCCUGACACCGAUGAUUAUACUGUAGAUCCGCCCCUGCUUUUAUCACCAAAACUUAUAAGAAAUUGGACUCUAUGUCAUCUCCCUUCCAUGCAUCGUGCAUAUGCAGGCUAUGACUAUCUCAAUGACUCCAAAACUGUACCUGGUGGAACAGUGGGAAAUUCAGCACCCAUAUACAUAUCCAUUAGUUUCCUUCAAACUUCCAACUUUUCUAUCAUAUCAAAUGUUUGGAUAUAUGUAUGGAGGCAUUAAGUAUGGAUGAAAAAAAACAAUUGCACAGUUUGUAUGUAAAUUGCGAGACGAAUCUUUUGAUCCUAAUUACGCCAUGAUUUGAUAAUGUGGUGCUACAAUAAACAUUUGCUAAUUACGGAUUAAUUAUGCUUAAUUGAUUCGUUUUGCAGUUUGUUUUGUUAUUAGUCUACGUUUAAUACUUUAAAUGUGUGUCCGUAUACAUCAAAAUGUUUUUGCCAAAGCAACUAAACACGGCCAUAUUUGGUUUGCCGUUGGUGUAUUGUGUUAGUUAUUAUAUGCUUAUUUUUCAAUUUAAGUUUAUGCGAAAAAUUAAAGCCUACAAUUAGUACAUAUUUUCAUGCAUGAAUCAAAAUUACAAUGUGCGAAAUCCAAGUAAUUAACUCCUAUAAGUCGCUGGGCUUUCCAAUCCCACCCCCCUCAACUUAAUUUGUUCAAAACGUACUCCCUAUAAAUCCACUUACUAUUCCAACUUCCCACCUCUCUAUCUCUAGUUUUCAUUGAUUCCUCGUCACACAUAGAGAUUUCUCGCAUCCCAUGGAUCUCAUGAUGGUGUCGGUAAAGUUGCUCCUUAUAUCUUCUCUCCUUUGGAAUGAGAUUUAAUACACCAUUUUCUUGUAGCAUGUGAUAAUUAUCAUGUUUCGUUACCUUACCGUUUGUGGAAUUAUUAAAGCGUGCAACAGCGAAAGGUGCAAGGAGGAUUAGGUGUACACCUUUUGUGGAAUUAUUAAAGCGCGUGCAACAGCGAAACAUGCAAGGAGGAUGAGGUGUACAACUUUGGUUUAAAGGGACAACUUUGCAGUUUGCACACCGUGAUGGAGGUCCAUGGAUCAUGAGAAAAAUAGAUAGAGGUGGAAAGUUGAAAAAAAUAGGAGUGCACGAAAUUAAAUUAUAAGAAGAGACUGAAAAUACUAGUGACUUGUAGGGGUAUUUGGAUUUUCCCCCAAUUACAAUUUGAUAGAAGAUUGAAGUGCACACAGGCCAUCCCUAAACUUGCAUAGAUGUAUCAUCUAGAUCCCUGAACUCUCAACAAAUAUAUUUUUGAGUCGUCGAAUUUAUCUUUGAUGUCAUAUAGGUCUAAACGGGCUCCAACCUCCUCCGUGCGCCGACGUGGCAUGCCGCAAUGGAAUGUUAGUAGGAUCCACAUUUUAGUCACAUAGAAAAAAUAAAAUUGAAAAACAUCUUUUCUCCUCUUAGGUUAUAUAUGCUAGCAAAGGAUAUACAGGUAUGAUCAAAUUAACUAGGGAUUAUCCAGCACAAUUUUAUAUGGUGCUAGAUUUUGAGAUACAAUUAGACAAUUCUUAUAUUUUAUUUAUAAUCAUACAACAUUAUUUCUACAAAAUAGAACUUAAACAUAUAAUUGGAUUCCGAAUACAAUAUGUAGCUUCUAUCUCUUAGAUAUAAUGGUAUUUUGUACGCAUGCAAUUAUGAUCGAUCAAUUUGCAACGGUAUAAUAUGGCCCACCAAAGUCUUAUGGUUCGAACCCUUUUCUUUUUAUCUGAGUAAUGUGGAAAUUUUUAACCUUCUAAAUGAGACGAACGUAGUGACUUCUUUUUGAAUUAUCAAUAUAACAUAACACUAAUGAUAUAAUAGAUUAUCUAUGAUGUUGAUAGUGCUACGGGGGGUAUGCAUUAUGAAUCAACUUGUAUCACAAUAGUGUGAGAGAGAACAAACUUUAGUCAACCAUACAUGUACACUUGUGUGAACCACCUGCUGCUGUCAAAUCCUGAGUACACUAGUGUUCUGUUUUUUCUUCAUUGAGAGCUUUCUGGUUUCUGGCCAAACCACGGAGUUGUGUUGGACGAACAUAGAAAAUCAAGCACACCAAAAGCUGUCCAUUUGUCGUAUAUAUCACUGUCAACGACGACGACGACAUCAAUCAUCAAUGGAUCGGUGCAUGCACUCGAUCGAUCGCCUCUAUCUACAAAUCUUUGCAAGUGUGUACGUGCAGACGAGCCGGCCGAUGAUCCACUGCCACCGAUCGAGCAGAUGAGCAGGCAGCCAGAACUAGCUAGCUAGGUAGGUGGUGUUCAGCGUUUAUUAGCAAAAAAGAAGGCCAUAGCGUUUAGCGCGCGUCGGCGAGAUGGCGCUUCUGCAGCGACGUAGGCGACACCGUGUGUUCGCCGUCGUUCAGCUCCCCCUGGCGCUGUGGCCAGGGUUGGAAAUUUCGGACCGAAAUUUCGGUCAUUUUGGUCCCCUCCGAUACGAUAUUAGUUUGGCCGAAAUUUUUAAAAUUUUUAAUUUUUUCAAGAAUUUGGGUAAUAUUUGUUUAAAUUCAACUAAAUAUUGUUUAAAUUUUGGAAAUUUCGGAUCGAAAUUUCGGGAUUUCGGUGACCCCCGAUCAAAAAGCCCUAAACCGAUAUAGUGAAACCCUGACUGUGGCUGGCGGCGACGAGCGGCUACCGGUGUAAGAUGGGAGUCGCCCCGCCGCCGGCGGUGGGCCAGCUGGUGGUGGACGGCAGCCGUAUUCCGACGAGCCCUCCCUCUCCACAGGUGCACUGGCCAUGGCGCACGCAGCCAGAGCCGGCGCCGACGCCGGUCUGCCCGCCGGAGGGUUGCAUCGGCGGCGGCCACCCGUCUGGCCGACAGCCUUAGUUAUCAGAGAUUUGGAGCAACCAAAGUGUCACUUGGGAAGUCCCAAUGGACUACUGUGUGGCUAUGAUACGUACGUGCACACAGUAGUUUCGUAUAAGUAUGUAAUUAUCUGAUCUGAAUAAAUUUGGUGCACGUUAUACAUCACCAAUUUGCAUCGAUUGAAAGAUUGUUAUUACUUAUUACACUACUACAUAAUUAAUUUUAGUGGAAAAGAUCCUCUUUAAUUUGUAGUGGAUCAUAACUGCUCGCAUCUGCAAAUGUCGCUUCCCAUA
Non-coding RNA from Oryza sativa Japonica Group (Japanese rice), 3897 nucleotides. The record is from RefSeq and is a predicted model, not a curated record. NCBI's taxonomy places the organism in Eukaryota, Viridiplantae, Streptophyta, Magnoliopsida, Poales, Poaceae.